GUGGAUUAGAUACCCUAGUAGUCCACGCCCUAAACGAUGUCUACUAGUUGUCGGGUCUUAAUUGACUUGGUAACGCAGCUAACGCGUGAAGUAGACCGCCUGGGGAGUACGGUCGCAAGAUUAAAACUCAAAGGAAUUGACGGGGACCCGCACAAGCGGUGGAUGAUGUGGAUUAAUUCGAUGCAACGCGAAAAACCUUACCUACCCUUGACAUGUACGGAACCCUCGAGAGAUUGAGGGGUGCUCGAAAGAGAGCCGUAACACAGGUGCUGCACGGCCGUCGCCAACU
This 289-nucleotide ribosomal RNA is filed under the name uncultured bacterium. RNAcentral describes it as "partial 16S ribosomal RNA". It matches the Rfam family "Bacterial small subunit ribosomal RNA", at positions 773 to 1060 of the family's 1533-position model. The record is from RNAcentral.